CAGCUACACAACAAACAUGUCCAGGUGCUGCACCCAUCGUGCAAGAACCUUGAAGGAGGCACACAUGUCCAGUUAUGAGGAUGCUCCAGGAAGCCCUCAGGCUGUGCCUGUCAAACUUUCCACGUGCCUAUGAAACACCUGGGCAUCAAGACUCUGCAUUUCUAACCAACCUCCAGCUGGGAAAACUCCUGUCAGUGGAUGCAGUGUCCUUUCCAGAUUCAAUAUUAUGCAAACUGCAUAUCGGCAAAUGGAGUAAACAAAUAUGUCCAUGGAGCUUCCUGAUGCACAGAGAGAUGGGGCUGCCCCAGUACAGAGAGGCAGACCUGCUGAUUUGCACGGGAGCUGCUGAAAUUGUCGCUCUGCCAG
Hippopotamus amphibius kiboko is the source of this 366-nucleotide long non-coding RNA. RefSeq lists it as uncharacterized. The record is from RefSeq and is a predicted model, not a curated record. The transcript is spliced from 3 exons. Lineage: Eukaryota; Metazoa; Chordata; Mammalia; Artiodactyla; Hippopotamidae.